RNAcentral lists this transfer RNA (67 nucleotides) under human gut metagenome. It matches the Rfam family "tRNA". From Rfam's summary of the family: Transfer RNA (tRNA) molecules are approximately 80 nucleotides in length. Their secondary structure includes four short double-helical elements and three loops (D, anti-codon, and T loops). The record is from RNAcentral.
CGGGUAUAGCUCAAUGGUAGAGUAUCGGCUUCCCAAGCCGGUUGUGCGGGUUCGAUCCCCGUUACCC